Molecule: long non-coding RNA, 14562 nt
Organism: Gorilla gorilla gorilla (western lowland gorilla)
Lineage: Eukaryota; Metazoa; Chordata; Mammalia; Primates; Hominidae
Exons: 9
Source: RefSeq, a predicted model, not a curated record
AAUCAACACUCCACUCAGACAAUGCCCAGACCUCCAGAAACCAUGUGUCAAGCUUGGAUUGCCUUAGACAGGUGCAAUUUAAGAACAGCUUUCAUCCUCUUUUCUCUCAUAUUGUCACACUAUGGGUUCUGACUUCUGGCUCCUUUCCUCACAAGAAGCUCACCCAGCUGGAACUCUUAUGGGACCUUGGCACCAGAGACCGCAAAUUCCUCUUUGAAGUUUUCUAACAGCAACAAUGAGUUUCGCUCUGUCGCCCAGGCUGGAGUGCAGUGGCAUGAUCUCGGUUCACUGCAAGCUCCACCUCCCGGGUUCACACCAUUCUGCCUCAGCCUCCUGAGUAGCUGGGACUACAGGCGCCUGACACUACGCCCAGCACUGGAUAAAUACAGAACAAGAUAACAAGAGUUCCCAGCAAAGGAUCCAGGUGAUGAACCUUCAGUGUUGUGCUGUAGUAAGAAAAUGGCAAUCCCUUAACUACAAGGAGUUGCCAGACUCUGGUGAAUAUCAUUCUUCUAUCAUGCAGCUUGAAAUAACAUGGUGCUAAGCAUGGAUUUUUCCACCGAAUGAGGAAAUUCUAAUUCUAAUUGUUAGUCUCUUUAUCAAUGAUGCCAAGUGGCAAGGAACAUCACCAUCUUUGGAGACCUAGUGGUGGAGUUAAACUACUACAGGGAAACAACUUUACGUAUAGAGGAGUUGAGCUUCCUAGAGGAAAAGAAGGAAAAUCAUUCCUAAUGGAAGAUCAACUAUUCAAGAAAGAAAGAAGAGCAAUGAGAAAGCUGUGUGCAGCCUACAGCAAUUUGAUAAAGUAUUCUUUUGUACAUAAAAAUGGAAAUAUUUGCUUUUCUUCCCUACUUGAUCUCUCCAAAAUUCAGAAACUAUUAUUUUCUCUAAUAUCUGGGUACAACUCUUCAACAAAGAAUGAGAACUGCUCUGUUCCUGAAACCCUAUAGCCAAAGUUUGACAAUUCAAUAUACAUUCCAAGGGACAAGUCUCAUGCCUGAUGUUUGAGCCACACAGAUAGUUUGUGAGAAUGUCUGAUGCCACAACUGAAGAUAUUCAAACUGCAAAUUAGGAUAAGUCUCUGACUUCAUCCUGUGGAUAGCUUUUCACAAAACCAGAGGAACAAGACUCCAUAUCAUAGUGGUUCAAUUCAUCAAGACCCUGGCUUAGGAGCAUACUCCAAACUCUUGGUAAUAUCUUCCUAAUAGUCAUACAAAUAGCCUGCCUGGUGCAUUAUUUUUUCUUGAAAAGUUUUAACUUUUUGCACACAGCUAUCUGUCAAAUAUCAAAUGGUUUUCCUUCAGUGCAAAGAAAUGCAUUUUCAUGAGAACACUGUAACCUACCAAUGACAUAUUGAGACUGGAAACCCAGAAUGAUGGUAACUAAGAGUAGUGUUAAUACCUUUCGUUUUGAUUUAAAAAUUUUUUUUUUUUUUUUUUUUUUUGAGACGGAAUCUCGCUCUCAUUGCCCAGGCUGGAGUGCAGUGGCAUGAUCUCAGCUCACUGCAGCCUCAGCCUCCCAGUUUCAAGUGUUCCUCCUGCCUCAGCCUCCCAAGUAGCUGAGAUUACAGGCACCCGACACCGUGCCUGGCUACUUUCUUGUAUUUUUAGUAGAGAUGGAGUUUCACCAUGUUGGCCAGGCUGGUCUCGAACUCCUGACAUCAGGUGAUCUGCCUGUCUUGGCCUCCCAAAGUGCUGGGAUUACAGGCAUGAGCCACCGCACCUGGCCAAUGCCUUUAUUUUUGAUCUUACUCUCACCUGGGUGAGAACCUCACCAAAAGAGGGAAGUUGUUAAACAAGCAUUAUAGGAGGCCAUUAACUCCUGCACUAGGCCCCAGCAGAUUAGACUAAAAACCACAAAUGGAGUCACCCACACUCACCAAACUAAAACUGAGUUAUUAUCUGGUCUUCCAAGAAAUCAAGAGGGACAAAUAGCUUAAUUUUUCUAACAGGCCUGUUGCAAUCUUCACUUGGCAUGAUAAUGAAGUUCCUCUUGUUUUAAUCCUUACAUUAAGGAGUGAUCUGAAGUAAACUGGUGUUAACCAACCAGUUAACUCUUUAUUAUUCUGUCUCCCUGUCCCUGUCUUACAAGGAAAGUAACUUUGAAAUGAUCAGUCUCUUUUUGUUCGUUAUGUCAGCCUUCUUCAGCUCAUUUUCUGUCUAUAAAGCCAACCUCCACGGUCCAACUCAUUGGAACACUUAUUCUAUUUUAUGGGAUGGAGUGUUGCCUGAUUCUAGAAUCACAACUAAGCCAUUUGGAAUCUUUAAACUUAAUUUUUUAUAAUUUUAUCUUCUGACACUACCUAUUACUCUGUUCCUAGGCACACAGAUCUCAUGAAAGUUGUCUGUAUGUGAUUAUCGAUUUUUUUAUUGCUGUGUCUGGCAUAUAGAUAUUAUUUCUACCUAGUAGUUUUAGUGGCAUUUGUUUCCCAUGCAGUUUCUUCAGGAAGUUUAUUUCCAGUAUGUCCUUCAUUUCUCUUCUUCAUUGAUCUUCCUUUAGCCUUUGUUUGCUCUAUGAGAGGAAUGUAGACUCUGGAACUAACAAAGGAAAUACAAAUGUACAAAUAGUAUUUCCAAUACAAGAGUCCAUGUGACCUUUAAGAAGAGUCCAAGCUCAAUUGGCUGAAAAGUUUUCUGUGAGAAAAGCAUUUUCCCAAGGUCAAGAGAGUUCAAAGAACACAGCAAACUUUGUGGAGCAUGCCAAUUAAUUCUGUAGAAGUUGUUUUUGUGCGUGUGCAAAGACAUAGGGGCUUGGCUGGUCAUUCUGGUCUCCAGAUGGUCACAGGAUGCAGCCAGUAAUGACCAUGGAACAUCCUGAAACUGAUUAUUAGUUUAAUCAAGCAACAUAGUCUCAUUUGUUUGCUUGUACGAGAAAGUUUGACAAAAAUUUUGACUAUGUUCUCUCUCAUCCCUACUACUACUCCACGCUAAGUGACUAUCAUUUUCUGGCUGGAUUAUUGUAAUGACUUCCUAACUAGCUAGUCACCUCUUUAACAAUCUUGCUUCUCUGAAAUCUAUUCACACUGCAGCUGGAGAGGUCAUUUUAAAGUCUACAUUGGAUUUUGUCACUCCCAGCUUUAGAAAUGUCCUUGGCUUCCCAUGGUAGGUAGAAUAGCAUGGAAAAAGCUAUACCAUGGCCUGCAAGGUCCUGAAUGACUGGGACCCCACCUCCCUUCUCCAUUCUUCCACCAUCCCUCCAGUUUCUAACAAUCUUAGCUGGUUUCAUGCCACUGUCCCUUUGGCCUAGUGCUCCACCCAGCCACAGAGCUUCUUGUGGUCCCUCAAAAGCCCAAACUCCUUCUUAUCGUAGGGCUUUUCCAUGUGCUCUUCUUUCUCCCUAAAACAUGCUCCUCCUUCAUAAUUCAGUGCUACACAUACUGUUUGGAGUAUCUCUUUAAGGGUGGUAGCAGGCGGCUAGCAGUGGUCACUUUUACCUGGCCAGGCUGGGAGUGCUCCAUGAAGGAGGUGAUUCUCAAGCUUGAAGUUGAGGAAGCAUUCAUAGGCAGACAAGUGGGACAAAAGUGUAAUCUCAGCAGAGGGAACAGACUAGAUUAAAAUAUGGAAGGCAAGAAACCAUUGGGAUAAAAGUAGUGAUGACAUUUGUUAAAAUAAGGACAACAGACUGAGGAGGAAGUUUUGAGAGAAAGAUGAACUCUGCUUAGAAUCUGUUGAGUUUAAUUUAUCUGGGACUUCAAGAUGGAGAGAAGAAUAGGCAAUUGGGUAUGUGGGGAAGGAUAUGGACUAGUUAUCUAAAAGGUAGAGAAGGACAUGUAGAUCUAAAAGUUACCAGCACAAUUUCCCAAGGAAAAAUUUUAGAGUAACAAAAAAAGAAACAACAACAUUUAAAAAGCAGGCACCAGUAAUGAAGACAAGAAAUAGUCAGAAAAGUUGAUGUCUCUGAAAGCGAGGAGGGGGAGAGUUUCAAGUUCUCCAUAGCAAAAACAUAGAUAAUUUAAUGUAAGAACUAAAAGGACCGUAAGGGAUUUGGCAAUAGGAAAGUCGUGGAUGAGCUUUGCCAGGGAAAUGUGGGAAACUGAGAUAUAAGGAAAAUAGGUGGAGAUUGGGGAGAAACUGGAAUAUCAAGAAAUGUAGCUGGAGAUUGAAGACCAUUCUUCUGCGGAGUUUGGCUGUGAAAGAGGAGAGAGGGGGCAGAGGAACAGAGUGGUUCUUGUGAACCCCCAUGAAGUGGGUACAGAACUAUGAAGUGGGUACAGAGUUGAGUUAGAGUGUUUUAUUUGUAUUUUUUAGAUUGGAUGAGGCUAAUGGUUUUAUAGACAGAAGGAAGGUAAGAUUGAAAUAUAAUAUUUGAGAAAACAAUUUAUGAAACAAAAUUUUGCAAGAGAGGGUAGGGACUCUGCUUUUGAAACCAAGAAGAAUUUAGUAGAGGAACAAACUCUGAGAUGGGUAGAGAAGAGCAAAGAGUCAUGGCCUGGUUAUACAGCUGUUGACUGCAAUUUUCUUCUGUGAGGUAGGAGCUGUGGCCACUGCUAAGAGGCUAGACAAUGUGGUAAGUGGCUACCUCAUCUCAGCAACUUAGCUGAGAUACCUGUUGGUACAAAAUCAUAGCGGUUUUACAUGUCAAGGGUUCAUGGCUAUGAGGACUGGACCUACAUAUAAAGUAAAAUAUUCGAGGCUGUGACAUUUCUGCAUGUGUGCACACGGUCUGAUCUGGUCUCUCCUGGCCCAGCAAUAGGGAUGCAAGGUCAGAGGAGAAGAUUUGAAGGUCAAGGAUGUGAAAGUAGCUGCAAUAGCAGGUCAGAUCCUCUCUGAAUGUAAAUGUCAGACCCUCACAGUGACUGACUCUCAGGCCUGGAUACCACAUUUUUCUUUUCAGUAGAGUGAUUUAGGAAUCAGUCACAGUUCUAGGGACUGUCUGAUAAUGCUUGCCUGUACCUCAUAUUUGAGCUAAUAAACAUUGUCAAAUAACUGUUUGAGUGGAGUGAGAACUUUUAGGGUAGGGUAAUGCAUAUAAUUGUCUAUUAUCAUUAUAAAAGGCCAUGCUGCACCUGUACUUCUCACUGGGGAAUAACAACUAAAACAUGUGUUUUAAAAAUAUGUAUCCAAUGCAUUUAGCAUAUGUUUAUCAGGUAUAUUUGAUUUAAAUCAAGAGUUUAGGUGGAGGUAAUUCUUCACUUCUUGUAUCUGUAAACAUUAAAUUAUCUCUUUCUCCUUGCAGCGGUACUAACACUGUCUUCAGUGUUUUGUAAUCUCGGUUUUUGUUAUUUUGGCUUUUUUUCUCUUACCUCUAACUUUUUUGUCUUUGCUUAUGUUUUUUCUGCUGAGUUGACAGCGUCCCAGGCACAAAGUAAGCACCAGAUAAAUACCUGCUGAUUGACUGACCCAAAUCCCAAAGCAGGACGCUUUAGUCACAGGGUCGAAUCAGGAAAAUGAUGUUGCCAAUUUAAACCUGUCUUCCUGGUGGCUUCAAGCCACCCAUUCAUGGCUAAGUAUUGUGUGUGUGAGCAACUGCCUUGCAGCACUGCUCAAAGUGGCCAUGCUAUUGCUAUUAGGACCAUAGAGGGUAGAAUUUACUAAAGUACAGAAACGUUUAGCUUGGGUUUUCUUUCUCUCUAGUUGCUAAUCUUAAUUAGACUGUCAUCCUAAAAGAUCACAGGUACAUACCAUUUUCAUUUUUUAAAAAAUACAGCUUCAUUAUCAGUAGCAAAAAUUCUUAGGAUGAGGCCCUGGGUUAAAGCUAUAAACACAUAAAGAAAUUGUUCAAGGCAGCUAUAUUUGAACAUCUAUUUUUAUAGCCCAUUAAAAAGAAUUUUGUAGGUGUUUCCAUUGUAAGUCGUAAGGCGAGGUCUUUCUCUUUUUCAGAAAGCCAUGCCAUCUAUUACUCUGCAGUGUUGUAUUUUAAGCAGUGUCCAAUUUAAAAUGUUAUUGAUUUUCCUGGAAAGUUUUUAUUGCUCUGAUUAAUUUGUACUUUUAAAACCUUUGCCUGCUGUUUCAUGUGCAAAGGUUUUUUGAAUUAUGGAUGAAUAAUGUCUGAAAGAUCAUAAUUUCCCACAGGAAUGUGUCUAUAAUAGAGUGGCACACAAAAGAGAGAAGGUUCUUGUCCUCAGGGAGUUUAUCUUCCAGUCGGGAAAGAUAUAAAAAAUAAGUAAAAUGAUAAAUAAAUAAUUUUAAGUUGGGAUAGCAUUUGUAGAGUAGUCCCCCCUUAUCCAUAGGGGAUAAGUUCCAAGACCCCAGUGGAUGCCUGAAACUGCACAGUAAUGGAUCCUAUAUACACUGAUAUGGAAUGGCUGUAUCCCCAACCAAACGUCUUCCUGAAUUGUAGCUCCCAUAAUCCCCAUGGGUUGUGGGAGGGACCUGGUGGAGAUAAUUGAAUCAUGGAAGUUCAACACCAUCCUGUUCUAGUGAUAGUGAGUUAGUUCUCACGAGAUCUGAUGGUUUUAUCUUUUAUUUAUUUGUUUAUUUAUCUAUUUUUAGAUGGAGUCUCACUCUGUUGCCCAGGCUGGAGGGCAGUGGCACGAUCUCAGCUCACUGCAACCUCUGCCUCUUGGGUUCAAGUGAGUCUCCUGCCUCAGCCUCCUGAGUAGCUGGGAUUACAGGCACCUGUCACCAUGCUCUUCUAAUUCUUGCAUUUUUAGUAGAGAUGUGGUUUCACCAUGUUGGCCAGGCUGGUCUCGAACUCCUGACCUCAGGUAAUCUGCCUGCUGCCUCAGCCUCCCAAAGUGUUGGGAUUACAGGCAUGAGUCAUCGUGUGCAGCCAUGAGAUCUGAUGGUUUUAUAAGGGUGAUGCCCCCUUUGCUGGGCACUCAUUUUUCUCCUUCUUGUUGCCAUGUGAGAAAGGAAACGUUUGCUUCCCUUUCUGCCAUGAUUGUAAGUUUCUGGAGGCCUCCCCAGUCCUGUGGAACUGUGAGUCAAUCAAUUUUCCUUAUAAAUUACCCAGUCUUGUGUAUGUCUUUAUAGCAGCAUGAGAACAAACUAAUACAGCAAAUUUGUACUGCAGAGUAGGGUGCUGCUACAAAGACACCCGAAAAUGUGGAAGCAACUUUGGAACUGGGUAGCAGGCAGAGGUUGGAAUAGUUUGGAGGGCUCAGAAGAAGAUUGGAAGAUGUAGGAAAGCUUGGAAAUUCCUAGAGACUUGUUGAAUGUCUUUGACUAAAAUGCUGAUAGUGAUAUGGACAAUGAAGUCCAGGAUAAGGUGGUCUCAGAUGCAGAUGGGGAACUUGUUGGGAACUGGAGUAAAGUUACUCUUGCUAUGCAAAGAGACUGAGGUAUUUUGCCCCUGCCCUAGAGAUCUGUGGAACUGUGAACUUGAGAGAGAUGAUUUAGGAUAUCUGGCAGAAGAAAUUUCUAAGUGGUAAAGCAUUCAAGAGGAAGCAGAGCAUAAAAGUUUGGAAAAUUUGCAGCCUGACAAUGCAACAGAAAAGAAAAACUUAUUUUCUAGGGAGAAAUUCAAGCCCAGGGCAGAAAUUUGCAUAAGUAAUUAGGAGCUGAAUGUUAAUGGCCAACACACUGGGAAAGUGACUCCAGGGCAUGUCAGAGAACUUCACCGCAGCCCCUCCUAUCAUAGGCCCGCAGGCUUAGGAGGAAAAAGGGCUCUGUGGGCCUGGCCCAGUGCCCCCCUGCUGUGUACAGACUAGGGACUUGGUGCCCUGUGCCCUAGCCACUCCAGUCGUGGCUAAAAGAGGCCGAGGAACAGCUCACGUCAUGGCUUCAGAGAGUGCAAACCCCAAGCCUUGGCAGCUUCCACAUGAUGUUGAGUGUGCAGGUGCACAGAAGUCAAGAACUGAGAUUUGGGAACCUCCACUUAGAUUUCAGAGGAUGUAUGGAAACACCUGGAUGUCCAGGCAGAAGUUUGCUGCAGGGACAGGGCCCUCAUAGAGAACCUCUGCUAGGGCAGUGUGAAAGUGGAAUUGUGGGGAUGGAGUCCUCACACAGAUUCCCCACUGGGGCACUGCCUAGUGGAGCUGUGAGAAGAGGGCCACUGUCCUCCAGAUCCCAGAAUGGUAGAUCCGCCAACAGGACAGCUUGCAGAGUGCACCUGGAAAAGCUGCAGGCACUCAACACCAGCCCAUGAAAGCAGCUGGGAGGAGGGCUGUACCCUCCAGGGCCACAGGGGCAGAGCUGCGCAAGGUCAUGGGAGUCUACUUCUUGCAUCAGUGUGACCUGGAUGUGAGACAUGGAGUCAAAGGAGAUCAUUUUGGAACUUUAAGGUUUAAUGAUUGCCCUAUUGGAUUUUGGACUUGGAUGGGGCCUGUAGCCCCUUUGUUUUGGCCAAUUUCUCCCAUUUGGAAUGGGUGUAUUUACCCAAUGCCUGUACCCUCAUUGUAUCUAGGAAGUAACUAGCUUACUUUUGAAUGUACAGGCUCAUAGGUGGAAGGGACUUAUCUCAGAUGAGACUUGGGACUUGGACUUUUGGGCUAAUGCUGGAAUGAGUUAAGACUUUGAGGGACUGUUGGAAGGGCAUGAUUGUGUUUUGAAUUGUGAAGGCAUGAGAUUUCAGAGGGGCAAGGGGCAGAAUAAUAUGGUUUGGCUGUGUCCAAACUCAAAUCUCAUCUUGAAUGUAGUUCCCAUAAUCCCUAUGUGUUGUAGGAGGGACCAGGUGGAGAUAGUUAAAUCAUGGGGGUGAUUUCCCCCAUCUUGUUCCCAUGACAGUGUAUUCAUUCUCACAAGAUCUGAUGGUUUUAUAAGGGGUUUCCCCCUUUGCUAGGCACUCAUUCUUCUCCUUCCUGCUGCCAUGUGAAGAAGGACAUGUUUGCUUUCCCUUCUGACAUGAUUGUAAAUUUCCUGAGCCCUCCCAAGCCCUGUGGAACUGUGAGUCAAUUAAACCUCUUUUCUUUAUAAAAUGUAUGUCCUUAUAGCAGCAUGAGAAAGGACUACUACAUACACUAUGUUUUUUUCCUAUACAGUAUCAAGCAGCUAGCAUGUAUAGUGUGAAUAUAUCAGACAAAGGGAUGAUUCAUGUCCAGAUUCAUGUCCAGGGCAGGACAGAGCAGGAUGGUGCAAGAUUUCAUCAUGCUACUCAGAAUGGUGUGUAAUUUAAAACUGAUUAGUUGUCUAUUUUUAGAAUUUCCACUUAAUAUUUUUGGACCACUAUUGACUGCAGAUAACUGAAACUGGAAAGCAAAACAAUGGAUAAGGGGGGACUACUGUAUUUGCUUUUUGUUCCCCAUAUGUUUCUGUCAGCCUUACCAUUUGUAGACUUAUUAAAUGUAUUCUCCAUCAAGAAGUACCAUACAGUAUAACUUCUAAUUGAGAAAGUUAAAAAUAAGAAAAUGGAUUAAUGUUGAUGGGAUUACUGACUUUACCAUGUAUCUCAUGAUACAUGGUAGCAGUCUGCCUUAUAAAACUAUGAGAUGGGAUACCAAAUAUUCAACUAUGAUGCCAGCCGGAAGUUAACACGUUGUGCAGUUGGGGUGCUAGCAUAUGAAAUAUGGUAUGUGGUCUGAAGCUGUGACAGUUUUAUGGUACCAAUGCUUCCGUGGCCUGAAUGCAUGAAUUUAGCAAUAAAGGGGCAGAACUGGAAUGACACCUCUCAUAAAAUCACAUAGUGGCUGAAUCACAAAAGCUUGCAUCACACUCCAGUCCCCCUGGGAUCUGCUGGUUUAGGGGGUCUUAGAGGCCAAAGGAGGGUUGCUUCCACAGGGUACCAAGUAAACACUGGCUUAAUUGCAUUGGAAACUGAGUUUGCCACUUUUUCAUUUCCAAUUCUAAAACCACAGGAUGAAAAGUCAAAAAGAAGAUUAUGAUAUGACAGAAAUGAUGAUUCUAGCUAUAAUGGGGAAACAGUGUUGCUAUUACACAAUAGGAUCAAGAAGGGUGUUGGUAGAAAUCCAGCAAUCCUCUGGGGUGCUUCUUAAUACUGCCAUGUCCAGCAUCAAAAGUUAAAGGAAAUCCACAGCAACCCAAUAUGGGAAGAAUGAUAAAGGGACAGCUUUCUCAGGAUCAAGGUAUAGGUAAAUCCUUGGUUGAGGGGAAAAGAAACUUGAAAUUGAUAAUAGAGGAGUUGAGUCAUCAGUGCAAAUACAGCACCAAGACAAAUUAUAGAAAUAAGACUGUAACACCUACCCAUAUUUUCUUUCAUGUAUAUAUGUAUAAAUCUUAACUGUUUUUCCUACAUUGUAUCUCCGUUCUAUUAUUUCUUUAUUAAUAGUGGCUUUUACAAAUUAGUCCAUAGUUUACAGAAUAUUGAGACAAUACCAUGGCACAAUUCCAGAAGAAUUGGACAUCUUCCAGAACGCCUGAAUUUUGAUCUGGAUGAAACUUCAACUGGUCCCUUUUAUAUGAGGAAGAAUAGUUACUUAGUUAAGUAGGAACAUUUUUUUUUCCUGGAACUUUAAGCAUGGGGAGAAGCUUGUAAGUUGGUGCUGAGCUGCCGGAAGUUUGGCUUAUAGUGGACAUUCGUGAUUCAUUUUGGCUGUAUGGCAACCAAGUCCCAUUCUAUACUCUAUUUGAGAAUUCCUACUCUUGAAUCUUGGUGUGGGGUAAAAAGAGUCUAUCGCUAAUGAGGCUAACAAUGCCAGACAUUUAACAGCUUCUUUUGAAGACAGUUUAUUGUCAUGAGACUUAGUUAGGUUCAGAACUGGACUUUAAGGGUUAGUGAUGGAAGAAAUCAAGAACAGGGGUCUUUUUUCUUGUGACUGUGGCAAAGACACCUAUUAAUAUUACUUCCUUAUAAACAAUAAAGUUUCACUUAGUGUGAAACUUUCAGAUUUUAUCCUGAAAUUGGGCUCUCCAGCCCUGCCGAUGUGUUUACAAAUUAUUCACUAUCCUUUUAAUAAAUUCCUUUCCUGCUUAACUCCAGCUAGAGUUGCUAGAAACCACGAUAUCAACUACCAUAGCAUUUGUUGAGGCAUUUCCCAAUAUUUUACUACUGUUAUGAAUUCCUUUUUAAAAAUUCUUUUUAAACAACCCCUUUACAAAUAUUUAUUUUUAAAAGUCAACCAUGGACCUCGUACUUGAAAAUAUUUUAAUAUUAAGUAAAAUGCGUUCAUUAACAUUACCACUUCUAGGAGCCCCAGGUUGAGGAUCACCAGCAUAAGAUAAACCUAGCACAUAUUGUGCAGCAACAUCUCAUUAAUUCAAAUGAAAUGGGAAAGAUUGUCUAUAUCAAUGUGAAAUACUCACUUUUAAAACAAUGAGGUUUUAUUAUUUCCAAUUACUUACAGCAAGUAACUGCAUCUAACUACCAUCAAAGCAUUACUAGAAAUGUUAGAAAUCUACUAGAAAUAACUAGAAAUCUGCCAAGCUAGAUAUAUAGAGUACAUGUUAGUAUAAUCAAGUUUUAUUUUGUUGGAAGGGACCUGUAUUAUUCAGGAUUCUUUCUGUUUCAAAUAAUUUUUAAAAACUGAACUCAAACUGGCUUAAAAAUGAAAGGGAAUGUCUUGACACACAGAACUUAAAAAUCCAGAGGUUAAUCUGGCUUCAGACAUUAUUAGAUGUAUGGGCUAAAAAAAAGAGCCAGGACUCAGUCUCCCUCACUCCACUGCUUGGCUAUAGUUUCCUCUGUAUUGGUGUCAUUCUCAGGCAAGCCCUCCCCCACUUGCUAGCAAGAUAGUUGCCAGAAGUUCUGGGCCUACCUCUUACCCUUUCAGCAACCUGUAAAGGAAAAGAUUUCUUUUUCCGAAUAGUUUCCUUAAAAGUCUUAGGACUGCUUCACAUUUUCCGAGCGUGGACCAUGUGCCCUUUCUUGGCCAAGGAGAUAAAAGUCACUGAAUGUCUAUAUAAGGAUCAGAUGCCCAUUUCUGGAAGCUGAGGAUGAUUUUAGCUCUACCAUACCUUGUAGAAAUGGGGGAGAGGUGGUUCAACAAAGAACAAUGGGAUGCUGUUACCAGGAGAAGGAAUAAGAUGCUGGCCAGGUGAAAAGACCAAUUUCGCGAGAGAACCUUAAAUUACCAGCGCCACCUGGUGCAUCAAAACUCCUCUGAAGCCGGGCGCAGUGGUUCACACCUGUAAUCUCAGUACUUUGGGUGGUUGAGGCAGGAGCAUUGCUUGAGCCCAGGGGUUCGAGACCAGCCUGGGGAACAUAGGGAGACCAACCCCUCCCCCUACCCCAACACACCUCUACAAAAGAUUUAAAAAUUAGCCAGGCAUGGUGGUGCACGCCUGUCAUCCCAGCUAACUGCAAGGCUGAGAUUGGAGGAUUGGUUGGGCCUGGGAGGCUGAGGCUGCAGUGAGCUGUGAUUGUGCCACUGCACUCCAUCCUGGGUGACAGAGUGAGACCCUGUCUCAAAAACAAACAAACAAACAAAAUUCCUCUGUAACACUACUGAUGGCUACUGAGCUUCUACUUGUAUACUUCCCAUACUGAUAUAUUUUCUAUUCUAUUCAGCAACUUAUUCUGUUGCCAGUAAGUGUUAAAGUUCUUCCUUAUGUGGAAUUAAAAUUUGCUUCCUUGGAUUUUAAAAACAUCUAUCUGUUUAUGCUCUGCUCCGUGGAGUUCAGUACGUGCCCAUUCCUACUUAAAAAUGACACUCCUUACAGUGUUUGAGGUCAGAUUUCAUACAAAUAAUGCACCCCAUUUCUCAAAUGACUCUUUUUCUCCAGAACCUUUAUUAUCUUGGACACUUUUCCCCAAGACAUUUUCUUGCUCAUUGAUGUUGCCAUAAAAUAUACUUCUAUAAAAGAACAUACUUGGAAGAUAAAUAAAACAAGGAAAUGAGAGUACACCAUGAAAUACAGAAAUCAUUUUGUUAACUGUGACCCAUCUCUCUAAAUGCAGCCUGAUUUGGUUAGAAGAGCAAUCCUUGGAUUUGGAAGUAAAUAAAAUGCAAUGUCCUGCUUUCUUUUUCUUUUUUCUUUUUUGUCUUGACUAGAGUGACUGUAGUCUGGUUUACCCAAGACAGUCUCAAAUUAUCCAUUUUGGGCUAGUGUAAUUAUCAUGGUGCCCCCCUUCUCUUUCAAAACCUUAUUUUGGUCACGCUAGUCUUGAACCACUAUCUGCAUAUAUUGUCCAUAGUUUGAGAUAAAUCAUACCACAAGUUUUGGCUAUGUGCCAGAGGUAGCAAAACCUACAACCUGUUCAGUUUUUGGAUUUCAUCCAGGUGAGAUGUGCUGAUUGAGUCAAGGAGUUUCCAUGCUGGACAAGUAUGUACUCUUGGUUGAUCAGUGCUAGAUUAUAAUGCUUCAAAACUUUGUCUAGGUAGUCUAAUUAUUCAGAGGACUGUGUGAUAUUUGUGACAUUGCCAGAUGGAGCACGUUCAAGGAGAAAGACAACUAUGCAGCCACAAGAAACCCACACUAUCACCUUGUGCCUGAAGAAAUGGUGUUUUAUCAUCAUGUUGUUAAUCGAUUGACAAUACAAUUACUUACAGUUCAUUUAUGCUGGAAUAAAUGUAAUUACCGAUAUAUUUAGGAUUAUGUCUAUCAGUUUAUUAUUUGUUUCCUAUUUGUUCAAGCAGUUCUAUGUUUCUUUAAAAAUGUGAAGAAGACAUGUUGAUCCACUGAUUAAUGUUUCAAUGGCCUUAUUUUCUUGAAUAGCUAUUGGAGUGUUCAAAAUAGAAAUAGACCACAUUCCAAACAUGAUGUAUCACUAUAGUGGUUUCAGAGCAAGGGCAGAUUGAGUGAGCUAUGUGUAAGGGUACCCAGAAAAUUUAUCACCAAAAAUGAAACAAUUUUGAGAGUGACAGAGGGUGCUAUUAAUAAUUAUUCUGGAAUGACAGGUGUAAACCAGGACAAUUCCAGGCACACAAAGAUGUAUAGUGACCCUAAACAAACAUGUAUUUAUUGUAUAAUUAAUUGUUUCCUAUUAGGGAGCUGUGCACAAGAAUUCUGAUCAUGGAAGCUGGCGAUAGGAAACUUGUUGUAUUUGCUGUAUUAAGUGUGUACCUUAAAUAAUAAGUUCUAUGAUUAGGAUUUGGUCCAAGCAAAUUAAAUGUCUAGAAUUUACACAUCCAGAAAUUAUACAUGUACUGUAUCAUUUGUAGGCAUCAAGAUUAGUAAGUAUUACAUGAAUCAGGUCUUAAAUAGUUUGGGAAAAGUACAAGUUGUUUUGAGAUACCUCAAUCCUUCUUCAUUCGCAUUACUAAUCAUGAAAACAACACAAAUGUUUUUGUUUUCUUCUUGACUUGGGUCACAUUCCAUUGUGGGGUGAUGUAAGAGUUUUAGCCAAGCAUAGAAUAGUAAUGAGCAAUUUGGGAGAUUCAGUUCUAAAACCUUGCCUAGGGUCACACACAACUAGCACUUAGAAUCUAAGAACAUGGAACCAUUUGACUUGUAAGGUUAAUUGUAUACCUGUUGACUUUGGGCAUAUUUUCUAAGGUUAAACUGGAAAAACAAAGAGUCGGUUAUGGUCCACUUGUUCAAGAAAAAAAAAAAAAUGCAAGCCCAUGAGUCUUCUAGUAUUUUUCCUAUCCCAUUGAAAUAUACAAGCGACCAUAGGUUUCCUCUGCAAACAGCUGAGGCCUCUUGACUUCUGCUUCUAAGCCAGUAGUUUCCAGCUUGGAUGCACAUUAGAAUCAUCUAGGGGGACCCUAAGAAAUCCUGAUGUGGCCAGGCACAGUAGCACACUUCUGUAAAUCCCAGCACUUUGAAAGGUCGAAGUGGGCAGAUCACGAGAUCAAGAGAUCGAGACCAUCCUGGCCAACAUCAUGAAACCCCUUCUUUACUAAAA